UACGUAGGGUGCAAGCGUUAAUCGGAAUUACUGGUCGUAAAGCGUGCGCAGGCGGUUAUGUAAGACAGGGGUGAAAUCCCCGGGCUUAACCUGGGAACUGCAUUUGUGACUGCAUAGCUAGAGUACGGUAGAGGGGGAUGGAAUUCCGCGUGUAGCAGUGAAAUGCGUAGAUAUGCGGAGGAACACCGAUGGCGAAGGCAAUCCCCUGGACCUGUACUGACGCUCAUGCACGAAAGCGUGGGGAGCAAACAGG
Molecule: ribosomal RNA, 253 nt
Filed under: uncultured bacterium
Lineage: Bacteria
Description: partial 16S ribosomal RNA
Rfam family: Bacterial small subunit ribosomal RNA
Source: RNAcentral